Molecule: transfer RNA, 69 nt
Filed under: Marmota marmota marmota (Alpine marmot)
Lineage: Eukaryota; Metazoa; Chordata; Mammalia; Rodentia; Sciuridae
Also listed under: 1 other name
Rfam family: tRNA
About the family: Transfer RNA (tRNA) molecules are approximately 80 nucleotides in length. Their secondary structure includes four short double-helical elements and three loops (D, anti-codon, and T loops).
Source: Rfam by way of RNAcentral
GGUGUUGUGGCUCAGUGGUAGGGCGCUUGCCUAGCAUGUGUGAGGCAAUGCGUUCAAUUCUCAGCACCA